This 511-nucleotide ribosomal RNA is filed under the name uncultured bacterium. RNAcentral describes it as "bacterial SSU rRNA". It matches the Rfam family "Bacterial small subunit ribosomal RNA", at positions 28 to 529 of the family's 1533-position model. The record is from RNAcentral.
GAUGAACGCUAGCGGGAGGCUUAACACAUGCAAGUCGAGGGGCAUCACGGGUAGCAAUACCUGGUGGCGACCGGCAGACGGGUGAGUAACGCGUAUGUAACCUACCCUGUACAGGGGGAUAACCCGGAGAAAUUCGGACUAAUAUCCCAUAAUGAUAUCUGGGGGCAUCUUCGGAUAUUUAAAGUUCCGGCGGUACAGGAUGGGCAUGCGUAACAUUAGCUAGUUGGUAAGGUAACGGCUUACCAAGGCUUUGAUGUUUAGGGGUUCUGAGAGGGUGGUCCCCCACACUGGUACUGAGACACGGACCAGACUCCUACGGGAGGCAGCAGUGAGGAAUAUUGGUCAAUGGGCGCAAGCCUGAACCAGCCAUCCCGCGUGCAGGAAGACGGCCCUAUGGGUUGUAAACUGCUUUUCCAGGGAGAGAAACUUGCGUACGCGUUGCGCAAUUGACGGUACCCUGGGAAUAAGCAUCGGCUAACUCCGUGCCAGCAGCCGCGGUAUCAUACUCGUA